Tyto alba (common barn owl) is the source of this 6044-nucleotide long non-coding RNA. RefSeq lists it as uncharacterized. The record is from RefSeq and is a predicted model, not a curated record. NCBI's taxonomy places the organism in Eukaryota, Metazoa, Chordata, Aves, Strigiformes, Tytonidae. The transcript is spliced from 2 exons.
CCCUGUUGUGUGGGAGAGCAUGCAGUGCCUGUGGGUGAGGACAGCUGUGUGUUGGCCAGGCCCACCAGAGGAUUUUUGAUGGAAGAAGAGAGAAGUUAGUACCUGGUUUAACCUCCCCUCCAGCACGUACAAGGCAGCUUCGGCAGGCAGAGCUCCGCACUGCCCUGUUAUUUAUGGGAUGCUGAAAACUGGCCAAAAUGAAGGGAAAACACCAGAUACAUAAGGAUGCUUACCAACUGAAACUGCCAGUUCUGCUUGAGGGAGAACCCGUGAGACUCAGGAGGCGAUUACAAGGCCUUUCAUCUCCAGAUCACCAGUUCAAAGGCAAUUCCCACCAGCACUGACCAAGCUGUAGUCAACUAAUAGCUAUUUAAAUCAGAUAAGCCAUUGCCUCCUCGCUCUCCGAGAAGCCAGACCAGCCCCAUCGAUGUACACUACAUGCAAUCUCAGCAGAGUAGCUAAGACCAAAGAGGGAAACAAUCCAGCAGCUCUCCUGCUGUAGGAGCUGCUAGAUCAACAAGGAGAUCCAUGGUGGCUGAAGCCAACUCAUUUCAUGGCACGUUGUAUCCAGUCCCGUCAGCAAAGCACAGAUCAGUCAUGCUAACAGGGGGUUGCGUGUUACUCCUCCCACCUUUGUUGCUGGUAUCCGAACACCUCAAAAUAAAAACAACCCACUCUUCCAAGGACGGGGGACUUGCACUGGCUGGGGAAGUCAGGGCUGAUCCAGAGGUGCAAGCUGCUGUCGUGCACAGAGCUGGGACUUCCCUUUCUAAGGUCUGGUACUGAUGCGCAGGACCUUGCUACUCUAGAGCGGAUGUUUUCCAAGCUCUAAAAAUAACUAACUCCAAACAACAUGGUGGGCAUAGAGAAAUAUUUAUUUUUGGGCUUUUGCAGAGAUCAAUGCAGAAGAAAAAAGAUUAAAGCAAAGAUUUAAGUGUGUAUUAAAAAUAGCUUUUGAUAAGAUCCUGUGAGGGGAUAAAAGCUCUUUUACAGAGGCAGCAAGAGCUGCAGGACUUUGCAACACCUCCCCUGCAGUUAACUGUGUAAGGUCCCGGAAAUCAUUCAAGAGAGUGUUAGCAGCCAGAGGCCUCGGGAGGAAGUCCAUUAGCAGGCAGCAAUCUCCUUAAUGGACCCUCGGGGUAUGUGGUAGACACUGCCUUGGCCAUGGACACUCGGUUCUUUCCACUGCUGGGAUUCAAGGGCUGCUCGUGCAGCCAUUAUCAUCCAGCACUCUAAGGAAUGCUCCUCAUCUUUAUGGCAGCCCAGGAGCGCGAUGAAUUACGCUUCUGAGUAGCUUUCGUUGAGCGAGGACGCAAAUUGGCAUAGUGAGUUUUUUCCCUUUUUUUUUACAGCACCUAGCAAAGACAGACACCGAUCCAUACGUGCUAAUGUAAUGCAGGUAAAAGCACUAACAGCUGUGAAGGCCUUUGCUUUCCAAGGACAGCAUCCUGGCAAAACAAAAAUAUUGUCUCCAUGGCUGAUCUUGGCCUGAAAGAUCAAGCAGAGCCUUGUACAUUUAUGUGUAGACAAAAUCAUUAAGUCCUCAGCUGUGCAACUGGCUCCACUCGAGCAGGUCUGAGAGCGGGCAGCCACCCCGGAGAGAUCCGAAGAGGCAGGAACCUUCCUACUGGGAAUGAAAAGCAGGGCUGCUGUGCAGAGCACUACUGGCUCUGUUAAAAGGUAAGCUUGGUUUCUCAAAACAGCUCUCUGCCAUGACGUGGUUUGCCAGUCUUACUCCUUACUGCUAAUGAAACAGAAAUUCUGACUUGCUUUGGAUAUGUAGAAUACUAUAGGCUCUCUCAGCAACCACUGAAGGACUUCAUGGUUAUACACCUUGAGACAUACCGAACAAGACUGUCAAAAAUGGCAAGUGAAUUAGGUGUAUCAGGUGGGGGAAUGAGCAGGGAAGUCGGAUGCUGUCAAUGGACCUGAAUUUUUAGAAGUAUUAUACUUCCACCCUCCAAAACAGAGUCUAAACCAAAGUGCCCCAAUUUACAUUCUACCUGUGAAAUGCUGGCCACUUAUAUAAGAAGCUGCCCCAAAGGUUACUAAAGUGGGGAUUUUCAGAAGAGGUCAUGGGCGCUAGAAACACAGCCUAGUAAUGGGAACAAAUCCCCUUAGAUUUCAGUGGAUUUCUCCAGCACAGCAGAAAAUCCUACCUAGGCCACCAAAAUAUAUUUUUAACAGCGUGAUUAAAAAUCUUGGAAUACUGCUUAACAUUGUUGACUGCUACCUUUUAGCCGCAUGCCAAAGAUACAGUAAGUCCCUGGCACAUGGCAGUUUUAAAGCUAAAUGCCUUCAAGUGAGCCAGCUGUACCCAGAUGAAUUAAGAGGACUCUUAAAAACCUGCUGAUCUUACAUUUGUGUUGAAAUAAUCAGGUACAUUGAUGGGAGCGGGUUAGAGGGUGUUCUGGCUUUGACUCUGAAAUCCCUGAGAUUUAUGACUUUUAAAACAACCAACAAAACCUUGAGCAUUAUCUGAACACAAUUUAAUUUCAUCUACUUCAUCUAUUGCUCCGCUGAAACCUUCAUUUCCCCUUGUACCUGACUCUGUGUUAAGCCCUGCGCUCCAUCCCGCGAAGGGCACUACAUAACUCAAUACAUUAUAUUAUUUAUACUGACAAAUGAUUAUUGCACGACAGAACAAUUCCCAUUAAUUUUGCGAGCUGUCAGGUUACAGCAUGUAUGUGGCUGGUUUUCUUUCUGAAUUAGUCAAAGCCAGCCCAGUGUUGACUGGAUGCCCGUUUGACAGCUCUCAGCAGUCUGCAGGUGAGUUCAUGGGAAUCCUACCCAACUGUGCUCUCAGGAGCAGGGGAAAUUGCAGAAAUUUUUUUUUUUUUUUUUGCCAACUCCCAUUUAUAAAUUUUGCUUCUGCAUCUGCUGCUCUCUUCUCUGCCAGCUGUCUGGUUUGGAACAUGCACCAAAAGCAAUUUCCUUCAAUACCCAAUGUAGCAGAGAAGGAGCUUUGACAGGACACUUAAGAACUGCAGAGGAACACCCUCUCUAGACAUCGCUUCUUGCAUAUUAGUGUUUUUUCUAAGAAAUUUGAAGGCCUGGCUUAGGGUGCUGCUCAAGUAAGAACUGAGCACCAGCGCAAUGAUGCAGCUGUCUUGGUUUUGCGCUUCCAAGCGGUGUGUUAGACAGCUGAACUUCUGCACGGGAGUCACACAACAGGAUGAAAUCCAGCAAGGCAAUCAAAGUGAGCGACUGCUGAGGAGGAAGUGGUAAUGGAACCUCAGCUGGCCCUUCUUGUGCAGGAAACCUCUUUAAUAUACAACUCCCCCAACAUUUAUCCCCAGAGGAAGCCUGCUUGACCUCCGCUUAUCUAAAAUGAGAAGCAGAAGUUUGUUGAGGAGUUGGUUAUCCUUGAGACCAAUGUUCUGGUGAAGUCCAUGGAGUGCCUUGCUGUCCUGUUCCCCACAGAUGUACUCUUUUGUUGAAAAGGACUCUUGCGGACUCAGGAUCCUGUUGGUCUGUGGAAAUCCUUCCCCUCGCUAACUCCCUCCCACCACUUCAGGCCUGCUCUGUAAGGAGUUCACCAACCAUCUCCGGAUCAUCAGGGCCUGAUGCAACAAACUGUGAAGCAUUAGCUCGAAAUAUACAGCUGGGAGGCCAGUUCUGCUUCACGGCACGAACCCCCCAUCGCAAAGGACGAUAAAGCAGCGAGCACAAUUUGCGAGAGAAACAUAAGUGAUAAUCCGAGAAAGCUGCAAGGAAAGCAGGAGCAAAUCGGGGCUAACCAACAUUUUACCCUCUGGAGAUGGCUAAAAUUAGGGACAGGAGGCUCAGAAACCAGGCCCACCCACAGCUGUUAGGCAGGGCAGCUUCUGUCCUUGUUUGUGACGCUACAUGCAGAAGCUCGUUGCGCUUUAUCUACUUGUUGAGGUGAUUUUUGGCAACUCAACAGGUGUUCGUGGUGCAAAUCCUCAGUGUGUGGACAGAUAAUUGAAAAACAGCUGCAGCAGGGCCAAGAGACCCAGAAUUCAACUUGUACAAGGAAAAUAAACAGGUCAGUAAAAGAACCUAAGUUCACGAUCAGAGCAACAUCUCUGUCCACAUUUCUUUCUCCUCACUAAAGAAAACACAUUUUACUCUUUGAAUCUAGUUGUGCUUCAGUAACCAAUUCUCAGAAGAAUUCAGAGCAAGAGGGAAUGUGCUGGUAUCGCGUUCUUUGUCAACAGCUGUAAAGUGGAUGUGCAUCCAGCUACUCCUUAGUGGUGAUGCCAGAUAUUGCUUACCCAAAUAGGAACACCCAGCCCUUCCUAAGAAUUUUUUUGAAGAUGUUAUUAAGCGUCUGAUUUUGGCAUGGCUCUCAAAGCUGUUUGUCCCGAUUUUUUACUGCCUGUUGAAAAGAAAGCAAUACUGCAAAUACUUCCCAUCAGAAAAUACCAACAAGCGGCUUAUCAUAACUGCAGUAGGGCUCACAACAUUUCCACCGAGUGAUUUUUGGCACUGACAGCUGACUCGGAACAGUUGUUGGUGGCUGGGACAGAUGGACUUCAUAUAUUAAAAAAAAAGAAAUGAGAACUUCUCCUCUGUAGAUUUUGAAAAGCCUUUCGCACAAUCCAACAUAUUACCAAAACCUCAGAAUUAAGUCAAUGGGAGAUCUUAAUACACUGAGCUUUAAAACUGAAACGUGCCAGCGACUUGCUGUAUGUCCCCCUCAAAAACUCUAAGGUAUCUACACGUUUUAUUUUCAACGGAAGUACUGGAGCAUUCUGGGAAGGUCUCCACAGCUCUGCCCUCAGCCUAGCACCUGAGAUCUUCAAAAUCCACAUGUCCAUUUCCACAGGGAAGCUUGAAACAGAGACCUCAAGGUAGGACGUAACACUGAUGUCAAUUGUAAGCCUCACUCCCCAUCACUGGUGUGUAAUUAUGGCCAUGGCAUUUCCCUGAUGUGUAGAAUCUUUAGAUGCUUUUAGUGCUAGAGCUGGGUAUGCACUGACUACCCCGUGCUUCGCUGGCUCCUGGUUGGGGGCACUGAUUUAGGGCCGUGAUCAAGGGUAAGGUCUGUUCUCUGGCAAUAACACUGCAGGAGGAGGCAAUCCCCGCGCCGCUGCGCUUGUGAGCUAAGGAGCACCGUACAGUCUAACGCACACGAGUCAGAGUUUUGCAGCUUGGGAUCUCAGCACCUUGUUAGCUUUGCCAGCUUCCUUUUGUGCCUUUUUCUUUCCAAGCUGCCACCAAACUCAUCCUUGCGGUCGCACUCCUAUCUCGCUGUCCAGCACCAACCCUGCAGACCUCAGCACGCGUUUUAUUUUGUCCUGCUGACAGCAUAACCUUAACUUAGUGGGAUGCCCCUCGGUAUGUAAAAUGAAGCGUCGUGGAACAAACUUUUUUAUUCUCAACCUCACUCCUGCCCACUCUUCUGGGCUUACGACCCCAGAUUUGAAAACAGCUGGAAAUCAGUACAGGACGAGGCACUUUGAUUUGGCCAUAACCCUUCGUAUUUCAAUGAAGAGCAAACCCUGUUAUCACUUGGUUUAAUCACGGGGUAAAUGUUCUCAGGCAGUGAUGUGAAACUAGUGAUGUCUGGCUGUUUUUAGCAACUUUUAUCUGUCUAAAGAAAUGCAAAAGUAUCUGUAGGUCAUUUCCAGCCUUGCUAUCUUUUAAGGCCAGAUUCAACAGGACGCUUAGGCACUGCUCACGUAACAGAGGAAGGAAAGGGGGCACCUUUCUGCCUUGCAGCCCAACUGAAAGGAAAAGUUGUGUUAAGUCUGUCGUUUUUCUCAUUCAAAGGGAGCAUCCGAAUCCAGAGUUAGCACCUGGAAGACCGUGCGAUGCUCCAGGGUCAGGCACUCCCAAUUCCUCCUGCUGAAAACUUUCUGCUACAAACGACAGUAAAGCAAGUGAACGACAGACCCUGGAGCACGGCGACAACCAUCUCCUCAUCGCAGAUGAGUGUCAAGAGUCAUCUUCUCACCCCUCUGCUCACUUUUGGGGUAAAUCGUGCUCAAAUCUCACUUUUCUGGAGGCCCAAGAGGCUCUGCAAGUUAUCUGGAGUCGAUGAAAAAUUGUUUUGUCCUUAAGCUGUUUGAAGUGGA